UAAAAGAUUGUUAUGAAAUAUAAUUCAAGGAAUUUGUUAUCUAGUUUUUUAAUAAAUUUAGUUUACGAGGAAUUCUUUUUGAAUAUAAUUUGGGAUUAGCUUAGUUAUAGAAUAUAUACUUAUAAUUGAAUAUAAAAUUAAUAUAAUUAGAGUUGUUACUUUUGAUGGCGCUAUAGAGGGAUUUGCUUUAUUAAUUUAAUUUUUAUUAGCUAUUAAUUUAUUAAAAGGUUACAUCUAAUUAAUGAUUGUUAGUUAUAAUGAGUAGAUUACUAAUAUGAUGAUUUUAUUAAAAGGUAGUUUUUAUUUACAUUAUUUUAAAAGAACUAGGCAAUAUUUUUUUUGACUGUAUAGCAAAAACAUUGUUUUUCGUAGAAAUAAAAAGUAAUGUCUGUUCGCUGAUUAUUAUGUGAAGGACUGCAGUAUUUCGACCGUAUAAAAGUAGCAUAAUCAUUAGCUUUUUAAUUAGAAGAUGGUAUGAAGGUGAAACACGAGGAGAACUUUAUUUUUAUUAUUAGGUGAAUUUUAUAUUUAGGUGAAAAAGCUUAAAUGGAAUAAAAGGUCAAAGAGACCCUAUUAAGCUUUAUAUAUUUUUGUAUUGUAAUAACGUUUAGAUUAUGGAUAGAUCUUAGUUUAUGUUUAAUUGGGGCGAUGAUUUUAUUAACAUAAAUUAGAUUAUAAUGAU
Molecule: ribosomal RNA, 682 nt
Filed under: Schizoturanius clavatipes
Lineage: Eukaryota; Metazoa; Arthropoda; Diplopoda; Polydesmida; Polydesmidae
Description: partial large subunit ribosomal RNA
Source: RNAcentral